RNAcentral lists this ribosomal RNA (653 nucleotides) under Shewanella sp. S24(2010). RNAcentral describes it as "bacterial SSU rRNA". It matches the Rfam family "Bacterial small subunit ribosomal RNA", at positions 1 to 672 of the family's 1533-position model. The record is from RNAcentral. Lineage: Bacteria; Pseudomonadati; Pseudomonadota; Gammaproteobacteria; Alteromonadales; Shewanellaceae.
GAAAAAUUUGAUGACGCUGGCGGCGGCCUAACACAUGCAGUCGAGCGGUACAUUUCAAAGCUUGCUUUUGAAGAUGACGAGCGGCGGACGGGUGAGUAAUGCCUGGGAAUUUGCCCAUUUGUGGGGGAUAACAGUUGGAAACGACUGCUAAUACCGCAUACGCCCUACGGGGGAAAGCAGGGGACCUUCGGGCCUUGCGCUGAUGGAUAAACCCAGGUGGGAUUAGCUAGUAGGUGAGGUAAAGGCUCACCUAGGCGACGAUCCCUACCUGGUCUGAGAGGAUGAUCAGCCACACUGGGACUGAGACACGGCCCAGACUCCUACGGGAGGCAGCAGUGGGGAAUAUUGCACAAUGGGGGAAACCCUGAUGCACCCAUGCCGCGUGUGUGAAGAAGGCCUUCUGGUUGUAAAGCACUUUCUGCGAGGAGGAAAGGGUGUAAGUUAAUACCUUACAUCUGUGACGUUACUCGCCAAAAAAGCACCGGCUAACUCCGUGCCAGCAGCCGCGGUAAUACAGAGGGUGCGAGCGUUAAUCGGAAUUACUGGGCGUAAAGCAGGCGCUGCGGUUUGUUAAUCAAGAUGUGAAAUCACCCCCUCACCGGGAACCACAUUUCUAGUGGAAAUAAAUCUUGUAAAGGGGGGUAAAUUCCCCC